Triticum dicoccoides is the source of this 1609-nucleotide long non-coding RNA. RefSeq lists it as uncharacterized. The transcript is spliced from 7 exons. NCBI's taxonomy places the organism in Eukaryota, Viridiplantae, Streptophyta, Magnoliopsida, Poales, Poaceae. The record is from RefSeq and is a predicted model, not a curated record.
UACUUUUUCCUCUUGUUUUCAUUUCUGAUUCUAGACAUUCAAUUUUUUCCCAUUGGCUGGUUCCUCCUAAUAUGUCUAAUAAUGUACGUGCUUGUCACAAUACGAUUACAACAAUUUUUCCAUGCUCAGUUCAUACUUGACUAUUCUUCAAAAUUCUUUGUUUAUCUAUUCUUGUUUCUUUUUACAGGGGGGUGUAAGCAGAGAUACCAACCAUCAAAAUUCAGAGAGCAAUAUCAUCAUUGAAGACCUGGACCAAACUUUUCAUGGCAAUGUUUCUGAAGUUGAGGCCUCUAAUAUUGAUUUAACAGAAACGGAUGCAUCAGAUGGCAUGUUGCUUGAUGGUAUCAGAAAAUGCUGCAAAAGAGUGAUGAGAGUAAACAUGGGAGGAAUGUUUUGAAGGAGCAAAGCAGGAAGAUGGGAACAACCCAAGAAUGUUUGAAUAAAGGAAGAGCAAGUGCGUAUAUCAGAUUUAGCAUAGGGUGUUCUUCCAAGAUAGUCGACAGUGUUUGCAAAAGCAAUUACAGAAUGGAGCUUGUGAAGAACUCUGGAUUCAAGCAAUUUUGCCAAGGCCUACAUCUGGUCCCAAGCUUUUUUUUUACAACAAACAAACAAAUUAAGCCCACAAACACAAGGCCUAGGCUCAGGAAACUUGCCGAGAGUGUGGGGUGGUGGAGGGGGAGAGGGACGGCCCAGCCCUGGAAGCGUCCAACAAAAAAGGACGAGCAAUGACAAACAAUCGAACGACUGGGUGACAAACAAUCGAACAACAAAACAAGAACAGGGGCGAUCGGGAGGCUACAAACAGGAUGAUGUCAUGUUAGAUGUGACAUAAUUAUGUCACAUCUAGAUGUGUCCUAGACGGACCCUUAGUUUUUUGAUGAUCUAAUUUCACUCGUUGGUUGACUGUUUGACGUGUGAAGAUAUGAGACAGAAAAGAAGAGGACGAAUUUAGACGAAGAAUUGGGUCAGGGGGAACAAGAGUUUAUUUCCUCGGUUAGUUGCUGGGUCAUCUAUCUCGUUGACUAUCAAGGUUAUGUUACUUCCCACUCCCUUUUUUGGUUUCUUCCUGUUGGAAGUGAUGUGGCAUGAAUCUUUCUUUGUCACCCUUUGGAUAUGUGUUCUUAUGAAAGUUAGCGAUUGGAGUUUCUCUGUUAUGUCAGUACAUGUUGCUGCUUUCAGGUUGUUUAAUUAUUUUAUACGGAACACGUUGGCGUUAUAUGGAGAAGAGGCAUAUAUAUGAUUCUUUGCGUAUUUGCAGUGCCGUGAUUGCAGAGAGGUAAAAGAUAAAUCCAGAGAAGAUAAAAAGGAAAGGACAGAGGAUGCCCAGGAAAAUGAUGCUUAGAUGGUUACAGUUGCAGUGUACAGGUGGGAGCUAAACUGAAGCUUGCUGGUUGUGACGUGUCAGCCAUAAACUUGUAUUAUGACCAUUGUUUAUCCGGCUCAAAAACAGAGGCUGUUCCGUCUUCUCCUAAUCCAGACAAGCUGGCCCCUCUUCAUUGGUGCCCGUAGUAAAUUCAAAUUUGGUAGUGACACUGCAUGCCUAAAACUCUCCUGUAGGUUGGUUCAUUGAUUUAGAUUGAUAUAAUUGUCCAAGAAGCCAAUUAAUUGA